RNAcentral lists this ribosomal RNA (1084 nucleotides) under human gut metagenome. RNAcentral describes it as "bacterial LSU rRNA". It matches the Rfam family "Bacterial large subunit ribosomal RNA", at positions 1395 to 2487 of the family's 2925-position model. The record is from RNAcentral.
GGCUCAGCCGAACGGCGAGGCCGAUGGCAGAACCGGUUAAUAUUCCGGUACUACCCUUUGGGGUGACGUGGAGACGCAGUCGUGACAAUGCCGCCAGCUGACGGAAUAGCUGGUUAAAGGGUGUAGAAGUUGAUUGUGGCAGGCAAAUCCACCACAAGAUUCGAACCUGACAGUAUGGAGCGUCCUUCCGGACAAUCCAACAGUGCAUGUAAUCAUACUGCCAAGAAAAUCCGCUAAACAUAACCUUCAGGGUACCCGUACCGCAAACGGACACACGUAGUCGGGUUGAAUAUACUAAGGCGCUUGAGUGAUUCACGGUUAAGGAACUAGGCAAAUUAACCCUGUAACUUCGGGAAAAAGGGUCCCUACCCGUUAUCGGGAGGGCGCAGAGAAUCGGUCCAGGCAACUGUUUAACAAAAACACAGGGCUGUGCGAAGUCGAAAGACGCUGUAUACAGCCUGACACCUGCCCGGUGCUGGAAGGUUAAGAGGAGAUGUCAUCGCAAGAGAAGCAUUGAAUUGAAGCCCCAGUAAACGGCGGCCGUAACUAUAACGGUCCUAAGGUAGCGAAAUUCCUUGUCGGGUAAGUUCCGACCUGCACGAAUGGUGUAAUGAUCUGGACGCUGUCUCAACCGUGAGCUCAGUGAAAUUGUAGUAUCGGUGAAGAUGCCGAUUACCCGCGAUGGGACGAAAAGACCCCGUGAACCUUUACUAUAGCUUAUCAUUGAAUUUGGGCACGUGAUGUGUAGGAUAGGUCGGAGGCUUUGAAGCAGGCACGCCAGUGUUUGUGGAGCCGCUGUUGAAAUACGACCCUUCAUUUGUUUGAGUUCUAACCCGUUGUCACGGGGACACUGAUUGGUGGGUAGUUUGACUGGGGUGGUCGCCUCCAAAAGUGUAACGGAGGCUUCUAAAGGUGCCCUCAGACCGAUUGGUAACCGGUCUCAGAGUGUAAUGGCAUAAGGGCGCUUGACUGGGAGACUAACAAGUCGAGCAGGUAGGAAACUAGAGCAUAGUGAUCCGGUGUUUCCGCAUGGAAGGGACAUCGCUCAAAGGAUAAAAGGUACUCCGGGGAUAACAGGCUGAUC